Molecule: ribosomal RNA, 563 nt
Filed under: Xylaria multiplex
Lineage: Eukaryota; Fungi; Ascomycota; Sordariomycetes; Xylariales; Xylariaceae
Description: eukaryotic LSU rRNA
Rfam family: Eukaryotic large subunit ribosomal RNA
Source: RNAcentral
AAACCAACAGGGAUUGCCCUAGUAACGGCGAGUGAAGCGGCAACAGCUCAAAUUUGAAAUCUGGCUUUCGGGUCCGAGUUGUAAUUUGUAGAGGAUGCUUUUGGCGCGGUGCCUUCCGAGUUCCCUGGAACGGGACGCCUUAGAGGGUGAGAGCCCCGUACGGUUGGACACCAAGCCUCUGUAAAGCUCCUUCGACGAGUCGAGUAGUUUGGGAAUGCUGCUCUAAAUGGGAGGUAAAUUUCUUCUAAAGCUAAAUAUUGGCCAGAGACCGAUAGCGCACAAGUAGAGUGAUCGAAAGAUGAAAAGCACUUUGAAAAGAGGGUUAAAUAGCACGUGAAAUUGUUGAAAGGGAAGCGUUUGCGACCAGACCUUUUCCUAGCGGAUCAUCCGGUGUUCUCACCGGUGCACUUCGCUAGGUUUAGGCCAGCAUCGGUUUUCGUAGGGGGAUAAAAGCUUGGGGAAUGUAGCUCCCUCGGGAGUGUUAUAGCCCCUCGCAUAAUACCCUUGCGGGGACCGAGGACCGCGCUCUAUGCAAGGAUGCUGGCAUAAUGGUUGUCAACGAC